UCCAUCAUGGCAGUGGAAACUGAAAGGCUUGAGUAUGGUAGGGGCAGAGGGAAUUCCCGGUGUAGCGGUGAAAUGCGUAGAUAUCGGGAAGAACACCAGUGGCGAAGGCGCUCUGCUGGGCCAUUACUGACGCUCAUGGACGAAAGCCAGGGGAGCGAAAGGGAUUAGAUACCCCUGUAGUCCUGGCCGUAAACGAUGAACACUAGGUGUCGGGGGAAUCGACCCCUUCGGUGUCGUAGCUAACGCGUUAAGUGUUCCGCCUGGGGAGUACGCACGCAAGUGUGAAACUCAAAGGAAUUGACGGGGGCCCGCACAAGCGGUGGAGUAUGUGGUUUAAUUCGAUGCAACGCGAAGAACCUUACCAGGGUUUGACAUCCUGCGAACCUCUUAGAAAUUUGAGGGUGCCUUCGGGAAUGCAGUGACAGGUGGUGCAUGGCUGUCGUCAGCUCGUGUCGUGAGAUGUUGGGUUAAGUCCCGCAACGAGCGCAACCCACGUUUUUAGUUGCCAGCAUUUAGUUGGGCACUCUAGAAAGACCGCCGGUGAUAAACCGGAGGAAGGUGUGGAUGACGUCAAGUCAUCAUGCCCCUUACACCCUGGGCUACACACGUACUACAAUGCUACGGACAAAGGGCAGCAAACUCGCGAGAGCUAGCAAAUCCCAUAAACCGUGGCUCAGUUCAGAUCGUAGGCUGCAACUCGCCUACGUGAAGUAGGAAUCGCUAGUAAUCGCAGGUCAGCAUACUGCGGUGAAUACGUUCCCGGGCCUUGUACACACCGCCCGUCACACCAUGGAAGUUGGCCAUGCCCGAAGUCGUUACUCCAACCCUUGUGGAGGAGGACGCCGAAGGUGGGGCUAAUGACUGGGGUGAAGUCGUAACAAGGUAGCCG
Molecule: ribosomal RNA, 889 nt
Filed under: uncultured bacterium
Lineage: Bacteria
Description: bacterial SSU rRNA
Rfam family: Bacterial small subunit ribosomal RNA
Source: RNAcentral